Dipodomys ordii (Ord's kangaroo rat) is the source of this 131-nucleotide unclassified non-coding RNA. Lineage: Eukaryota; Metazoa; Chordata; Mammalia; Rodentia; Heteromyidae. The record is from Ensembl.
UUUUCUCCCUCGUGCCGGGAGGGAAUGUCCAGGUGGGAGAGACUAUGAUAUAGAUUUCACCCCAAAACGACGAAAUCUCCUUUCAGCCGACUCCGCCGCAGUCGCCUCUGCGCUUUUUGGAGAGAUUACGG